Molecule: long non-coding RNA, 643 nt
Organism: Echinops telfairi (small Madagascar hedgehog)
Lineage: Eukaryota; Metazoa; Chordata; Mammalia; Afrosoricida; Tenrecidae
Exons: 3
Source: RefSeq, a predicted model, not a curated record
AUUCCUCCUCUUCCUAUAGCAGGUACACCCCUAGAUUGUCCCUCUCACAUUGCUGUAUAAUCUUUAGUACAGUCCCUUCGUGUGACAUAUGUCUUUACCUGUAAUCAGGGGGCUUACACGCCCCCAAAAGAUAUAUAAGCCUUGGUUAGUAAUAAAUCACUCUCCUCUCUCCUACCUUCUCUGCCCAUGCUGUGCGUGGACCUGCCUGUUGAGAUCACGGCCAUUCAGGAGAUUACCUGUCUUGGAUUUCAUAGCCAGAAAACCAUCAAGAAACAAGAGAAAACAAAAGUUAACAACAAUAACGAAGUAAAACCGAUAAAGCUGUCAACCGAACAGGAAGCAGGGGCGGGAGGAAACCAGUCACCAAACAGAGAGCGUGGGAGAGAUGACUACAGAAGAUCAAACUGGUAAACCUGACUCGAACGGUUAACACCUUGACAGUCGAUCCCCCCUCUCUGAUGCACGUUGGGCCUGAUCUGGUUUUUCAACAUAUUUGGUAUUUCUCUUUGCUUGCUUCUCUUUGUUCACACUGAGUUUUAUCGCAGAUGUAUUUCGUCCUUGGAGUCUUGCUGUUGUGCUAUGGUUUUCUGUUUUUCAGAGUAUUCACCCCAGCAUUGAUAAACCUAUAGGGCCCACAAGUAGA